Molecule: long non-coding RNA, 1778 nt
Organism: Lolium perenne
Lineage: Eukaryota; Viridiplantae; Streptophyta; Magnoliopsida; Poales; Poaceae
Source: RefSeq, a predicted model, not a curated record
GGAUGUCUACCGCUGCUCCUCUUCUUCUGCACGGAGGAGCUCGAGAUCUCCGUCGAUGCGCUGCUUGCAGUGGGGCGGUGCGGAGGAGCUCCAGUCUCCACCAGCGCGCGGUAUGUACAUGAACAAGGACGGAGCAGAUUCUGGUCGACGCCCGUCGGCUGGAGUCCACGACAUCGAGCAGGCCACGCCACACCGCGGGAGGAGCAGGCGCCGCGCCGGGAUCUGAUCACUUGUUGGUCGGCGCAGGGUCUGGGGCGAGCGAGCUCCUCUUCCUCCUUCCCUUGCGGACGCCGGCAGACUCCAACGCGGUCGAGCGAGCGGGAGUUGAGGAGGGGCGCUGCGGCACCGGUCGAGCAGAAGUUGGAGCCAAGCAUUGGGGCCGGAGGUAGCCGUCAGCAAGCGACGCUGCUUGGGCGACGUGGUAGAGGAGGCGGGGAACAGCGGCCAGCGUCGAGGUCGGCCACGGCCAGGCCGGUACAAGCUUCCGGCGAGGUAUUGCCGAUAUGGUCAAGGACGGCUCCGCUGCCGCGGCGCUCUACGUGUGGACGCCCGUGCAACAACCAAAUUGUUGUCGCUGGCUCGGGGAGCACGGGUGGAAAAGGCGGUCCGAGAAGCUAGGCGCCACCGCCGAUGCUCUGACCGCGUCCCCUUGAUUCACACCACGCCCAGCCAUUGCAUAUGUGGAUCUGGCAAGUGAAUCAAAAUUGUGGAACUGCAUAUGUGCUGCCAACUUUAGUCACUCCACUCCGAAUUUGAAGCUCUUACUCUCGGCUAGAUGCAGAAACUGAAGACGGCGUUUUGAGAAUGGCUCAGUUCUGUGAUUCAGGGAUUCAUGUACAUCUCAAGAAGAAAACAUUAAGCUAUAACUCUUAUGAAGGCUCGGGUAUGGUGUAACCUGAAUUACUUACGCAUAAUCCUUUUGUGGAAAAAGGACACGCAUUGCAAGGAGGAAGCGCAACGCACCCCAUCAAAACGAAUCUACAGUGCCCCAAUCGUUAAUGAAUGGCUAAGAUGUUUAACUUGCUUAGGUUAAGAGGACAAGCCCAAAGAAGUAAUGUGCCUGUCUAGCGAAUGACGUUGUGCUACCGCGAUCCAUGUUUGGCGUUGUUGGCAUUGCGAUGGAUAUUAACAUAGAAGAUGGGAAGAUUCGGCCCUUGCACGUUCACUAGAAGCUGCUCCUGUGAGAGGUGGAUGGAUGUUAGAGAUGAAGACCAGGACGUGAGGUACGCUCUGAGAGGAGGCCCUGGUAGAACUAGCAGCUCUAAGAUUUCGUUUACCUCAACACUGUGAAUUCUCAGGUUUGAAUCACACAAUCUACAGAGACAUAGAAUCAACUAAGUGAAUGUAAGUGCCAUUGUGACCUGAGUGCUUAGUAUACAUUUCAAUCGGUAAAUAUGCGGUGUGAUGAUCCAAUAAGAAUAUGAGCUGAAUUGGCGUCGUUGCCGUUUGGAAUCCUUGGCGUCGGGUCUCCUAUGGUGCAGCUCCGGAGCUAUAUACUCAUUUAAGACGUUCUCUGGUUACCAAGUGUGUGUUGAGUUCUUGAAUCCAAGAUGUUUAUCAUUUCGUUUAUGUUCAAUGGUGUAAUGAAAUUUGAGACAGAUCAUCCAUAUAUGUACCACAUGCAUCUACUCUCGCCCUGGUAAAUGAUUCCUGUGACAAUCACAUCCGAAUGAUACUGAAAACAACAAAUAGGCAUUCAGGAGUCUGCUAUUAUGCACAUCAAUGUACACAUACAUGUGCCACAUCCACAUGUAACUACACUUUUGCUUGAUACAUGA